UGGGGAAUUUUGGACAAUGGGCGAAAGCCUGAUCCAGCCAUGCCGCGUGAGUGAAGAAGGCCUUCGGGUUGUAAAGCUCUUUCGGCGGGGACGAAAUGGCGCGGGCUAACAUCCCGCGUUGAUGACGGUACCCGAAGAAGAAGGACCGGCUAACUACGUGCCAGCAGCCGCGGUAAUACGUAGGGUCCAAGCGUUAAUCGGAUUUACUGGGCGUAAAGGGCGCGUAGGCGGCAAUUCAAGUCAUCUGUGAAAUCUCCGGGCUUAACUCGGAACGGUCAGAUGAUACUGCUUUGCUAGAGUGCAGAAGGGGCAAUCGGAAUUCUUGGUGUAGCGGUGAAAUGCGUAGAUAUCAAGAGGAACACCUGAGGUGAAGACGGUUGCUGGGCUGACACUGACGCUGAGGCGCGAAAGCCAGGGGAGCAAACGGGAUUAGAUACCCAUGUAUUCCCUGAGCGGGCUGGCAAGGCGCAU
This 471-nucleotide ribosomal RNA is filed under the name uncultured bacterium. Its description in RNAcentral is "bacterial SSU rRNA". It matches the Rfam family "Bacterial small subunit ribosomal RNA", at positions 355 to 825 of the family's 1533-position model. The record is from RNAcentral.